RNAcentral lists this long non-coding RNA (707 nucleotides) under Erythranthe guttata (spotted monkey flower). Its description in RNAcentral is "long non-coding RNA (EGUT_LNC000707)". The record is from RNAcentral. Lineage: Eukaryota; Viridiplantae; Streptophyta; Magnoliopsida; Lamiales; Phrymaceae.
UAAAUAUAAAUAAAUCUAUUAUUCUAUAGUUGUUUCGAUAUCGAUGGUGAACGCCGACAACAAGAAGAACCCACAAACAUCUACGCCGCCUCAGCAUACCCCAGUUUCCUCUUUACCAUCUGCGGUCCGAGCUGCAUCCAAGGCCUCACCGGUGUUUCCAACUUCGCCGCCAACGCCUGGCCCAUGGUCAUGAUCUCCGGCUCCUCCUUCCAGAAUUUCACCGGCCGCGGCGACUUCCAGGAGCUCGACCAAAUCGCUGCCGUCAAACACUUCUCCAAAUUCUCCACCAAAGCCACCGACAUAACCAAAAUAACGACCUCCGUCUUCGCCGCCAUCGAUUUGGGCAGCCACGGGAGUACGGGACGCGACGGCACCUACCUAGGCCUCCCCACCGACGUCCUCCAUCAAACCAUCAACAAGUCAGAGGCUGAAAAAUUAAUAACCUAAACCCCCAUUUCUCGAAACAAAAACCCAUCAAAACUCCAGCAUUAAUUGCAAUUUAUCUAUGAAUAAAGUCUACAAUUAAAUCAACAUUUUUUUAAAGCAUUAAUCUUACCCCAAACCUCCUACAUGAAUUGAUGGCCGAGGGAGGAUGAGCGGAUCUGAACAAAUUUCGUCGUCGUCGGCGGUGGAGGUGGCGGCGGCGGCGGCGGCUGGGCAUGUCGGGGAAGAAGAUGGUUUGACGGAGAGAAGAAACGCAUUUCAUC